This is a long non-coding RNA of Amphiprion ocellaris (clown anemonefish), 481 nucleotides long. The record is from Ensembl. Lineage: Eukaryota; Metazoa; Chordata; Actinopteri; Pomacentridae.
UAAAACAUUAAUAUUAAAAUAAUGAAAAUUUCUUAAAAUUCAGAUUUUUUUUAUUUAGUGUCAAACCAAGAGUUGUAGUAUGACCAGCAGGAGAGAAUUGAAGGCUCCAGUGAUUUUGGUGACACUACAAUAUAUAGAUGCUGAGAGACAAAAUGGUGGACAUCCAGAGGGGAGAGGUGAGUUAGACACGCGCACGGUCUCACGUAGGUGAUGGGUGUUUUGUGUGUGGGUGGCACAUUAUGCUGGUGACCUGUUUUGAUCACUUGUAUGUGUAAUUGAUUGUUUUGUCAGAGAUUGAAGACAGUAGACUUUGCUCCAUUGCUCAUGUGUUUCUUUCUUUCAGAUGCUGGGAGACAAAGCAGUGGACAUCCAGAGUCGAGAGAUGCUGAUGGACGGAGCGGUGGACAUCCACAGAUGCUGAUGGACAGAGCGGUGGACCUGCACAGAUGCUGGGAGACACAGCGGUGGAGCUCCACAGGUG